This 211-nucleotide long non-coding RNA is filed under the name Homo sapiens (human). RNAcentral describes it as "non-protein coding lnc-MUC20-68:2". The record is from RNAcentral. Lineage: Eukaryota; Metazoa; Chordata; Mammalia; Primates; Hominidae.
GAAAAACUGAAGCUACAAAAUGGCCUGGUUUCUCACUUCAGUUAAAUUUGUGCUUCUGAGUGCUUGUAUUGUAGGUGAAACCGCACUGAGAAGGUAUUUGUGGCCCGUAUGCUGAUUGAUUGAUGAGACUUCUUUGCACAGGAGAGCUGCUAAAAAUUAUUACGGUGAACAGUCUUGUUCCAGUGGUUCAUCGGUGACUUCUGUGGCUUCG